GGUGAAACAACCUCCUGUCUCAGCCACCUUUCAGCACAGGCAAGCAAGAAGAACUCUUAGAGAUGCAGGUGCCUCACCAAGAUGACAAGAAAUUUCAGAGUUUCCUCACAUUCUGCUGGUGGGAAGAAGGCCUGUACACUCUGUUACCAUCAGCGACAAGAAGCAGAUCUCUGGUGGAUUCAGGGGAUCAGUAUGGAAUGCGAUAAAGAACUCCUGCUGGGAGGCUCUGGAAGUUCAUGGACAUCUUUUCUGCACCUGCCAAAGGUGAUUCUCGGAAAUGCUGCAGGGUGGCUGAAUGUCUGUAUUACUCUUUUCUCUACAGUUAUCAUCUUCCUCACCCUAUGUAAUGAGGAAAGAAAGCCAGAGUAGUUACAUAACAUGUUCUCAGCAAGAAACCAAAUAAUUGCUAAUGUUGUGUUUAUUUUGUUUCCAUGUCAAACUGAAAAAAAAAGCUGAUAUCCCACUGUGAAC
Molecule: long non-coding RNA, 471 nt
Filed under: Corvus moneduloides (New Caledonian crow)
Lineage: Eukaryota; Metazoa; Chordata; Aves; Passeriformes; Corvidae
Description: lncRNA (ENSCMUG00000017521.1)
Source: RNAcentral